Molecule: ribosomal RNA, 777 nt
Filed under: Limosilactobacillus mucosae
Lineage: Bacteria; Bacillati; Bacillota; Bacilli; Lactobacillales; Lactobacillaceae
Description: bacterial SSU rRNA
Rfam family: Bacterial small subunit ribosomal RNA
Source: RNAcentral
AAUGCAGUCGAACGCGUUGGCCCAACUGAUUGAACGUGCUUGCACGGACUUGACGUUGGUUUACCAGCGAGUGGCGGACGGGUGAGUAACACGUAGGUAACCUGCCCCAAAGCGGGGGAUAACAUUUGGAAACAGAUGCUAAUACCGCAUAACAAUUUGAAUCGCAUGAUUCAAAUUUAAAAGAUGGCUUCGGCUAUCACUUUGGGAUGGACCUGCGGCGCAUUAGCUUGUUGGUAGGGUAACGGCCUACCAAGGCUGUGAUGCGUAGCCGAGUUGAGAGACUGAUCGGCCACAAUGGAACUGAGACACGGUCCAUACUCCUACGGGAGGCAGCAGUAGGGAAUCUUCCACAAUGGGCGCAAGCCUGAUGGAGCAACACCGCGUGAGUGAAGAAGGGUUUCGGCUCGUAAAGCUCUGUUGUUAGAGAAGAACGUGCGUGAGAGCAACUGUUCACGCAGUGACGGUAUCUAACCAGAAAGUCACGGCUAACUACGUGCCAGCAGCCGCGGUAAUACGUAGGUGGCAAGCGUUAUCCGGAUUUAUUGGGCGUAAAGCGAGCGCAGGCGGUUUGAUAAGUCUGAUGUGAAAGCCUUUGGCUUAACCAAAGAAGUGCAUCGGAAACUGUCAGACUUGAGUGCAGAAGAGGACAGUGGAACUCCAUGUGUAGCGGUGGAAUGCGUAGAUAUAUGGAAGACACCAGUGGCGAAAGCGGCUGUCUGGUCUGCAACUGACGCUGAGCUCGAAAGCAUGGGUAGCGAACAGGAUUAGAUACCCUGG